RNAcentral lists this transfer-messenger RNA (351 nucleotides) under Limnochordia. Its description in RNAcentral is "JAAYFS01 sp012728115 Standard tmRNA". It matches the Rfam family "transfer-messenger RNA". From Rfam's summary of the family: Bacterial tmRNA, also known as 10Sa RNA or SsrA, is named for its dual tRNA and mRNA-like properties. Its role is to liberate the mRNA from a stalled ribosome. RNAcentral also lists the same sequence under 1 other name. The record is from RNAcentral. Lineage: Bacteria; Bacillati; Bacillota.
GGGGGUGAAUUAGUUUCGACGUAGGUAGGAAGAGCAUUGGAAGCGAGCCGAGAUCCCCAAACCUCGUUAAAUUUGGGACCUAAAAUAAUUGCAGAUAAUAAUUACGCUUUAGCUGCUUAAGAUAGCAGUUACGCCAGUUUGUUCUUUACCUGCGGGAAUAAACCUGGUGUCAACUUAGCAGGUUACUUCAGAGGAAUCGCCCAGCACUCUGGGGGAAUGUAAUGGGCUGGCUAGAACAUAAUCCAGCUACAAGGAGUGUGUUUUGGCGAGAUUCUAAAAUUGUAGCUGCGCUCGGAGAGGCCAAUGUAAUUUCACUUGCGGACAGCGGUGCAACUCCGCUCACCUCCACCA